This 498-nucleotide ribosomal RNA is filed under the name uncultured bacterium. RNAcentral's name for it is "partial 16S ribosomal RNA". It matches the Rfam family "Bacterial small subunit ribosomal RNA", at positions 30 to 523 of the family's 1533-position model. The record is from RNAcentral.
AUUGAACGCUGGCGGCAUGCCUUACACAUGCAAGUCGAACGGCAGCGGACCUUCGGGUGCCGGCGAGUGGCGAACGGGUGAGUAAUGCAUCGGAACGUACCUUUCAGUGGGGGAUAACGUAGCGAAAGUUACGCUAAUACCGUAUAUUCUGUGAGCAGGAAAGCAGGGGAUCGCAAGACCUUGCGCUGAUUGAGCGGCCGAUGUCAGAUUAGCUAGUUGGUGUGGUAAAGGCUCACCAAGGCGACGAUCUGUAGCGGGUCUGAGAGGAUGAUCCGCCACACUGGGACUGAGACACGGCCCAGACUCCUACGGGAGGCAGCAGUGGGGAAUUUUGGACAAUGGGGGCAACCCUGAUCCAGCCAUGCCGCGUGAGUGAAGAAGGCCUUCGGGUUGUAAAGCUCUUUCGGCCGGGAAGAAAUCGCACAGGCUAAUACCUUGUGUGGAUGACGGUACCGGAAUAAGAAGCACCGGCUAACUACGUGCCAGCCGCCGCGGUAA